This is a long non-coding RNA of Rosa rugosa (rugosa rose), 964 nucleotides long. RefSeq lists it as uncharacterized. NCBI's taxonomy places the organism in Eukaryota, Viridiplantae, Streptophyta, Magnoliopsida, Rosales, Rosaceae. The record is from RefSeq and is a predicted model, not a curated record. The transcript has 3 exons.
AAGGAACCUUAAAGAAGCACAAUAGGUUGUGGAGACAACAUUCUCAGAAUUUACACAUAGAGUUAAGGUUGGGGAUUGUUCGAUAUAGCUUUAAGGACUCUUCUGUGAGAAGCUAUAUCUAGGUAACAUUCUGCAUGUAUCAGCAGAACAACCAAUUGAUUUCUCUAGGCAAUAGAUGGCGCAUUGUGCAUCAACCAAUAAUGCUUUGCUGAUUCUUGGUUCUGGAUUACCAAACUGAUGGUGUAUCCCUUCUUAGCUAAACAAGCCUUCUUUGCAAUUGUGGUAUAGUCAUCUGAGUCGAAGCUUCCAGUGACAUAAUAGUACAAUCACAAGGUGUGCUAAAGCUUGCAAAUCUGGAGAUGUAGCUGAUCUGAGCUUCACGGUUGACCUUCUGCCAGGAUUCUAUCUUGUGUUAAUUCCCUUCCAAGUCUUCUGAUCCAUCCAUGUGCUCACUGUGUGUGACUGUGUUUCAGAACAAGAGCACAUACUUGUGUUAGUGAAACUUUGUCCGACAAAAUAUCUGAGGUGGUCUCCAGUUUCUUCUUCAGUGAGGACUAGGUUGCAAGUAGGCAUGAUGAAGGAUCGAGGUAUGUGGUACCAUGUCUCAAGGUGUCUCUUCGGAGGGGAGGAAGGAAACCCAAUGUCAACCAGUUCUUUGACUAUUGACCACCCCACCCUUCCCCAUGGAGCCAUGAUUUAAUGCAACAGUGUCAUUUCCUGCUGGUGCAUGAAAUACAAUCUUACACCAUAUAUGCUCCUGAGUCCUUGGCAGUCCUACCAUUGCAUAAGGAGAUGUGGUUCAUCCCUUAUUCAGAAUAACCUUGUUCUCCAAUCAGGACUUUGUAUUCCUACAGUGCAACUUCACUGGCAAUAUGUUCAGCUGAUCUGAUGUGUCGUUCUUCACCAUAUACUCAAUUGUCCAAAAGCCAGAAAAAGUUUCUCCACUUUUCACCCCGGCCAUUAC